CAAUCCUACGCCCGUUUGCUGGGAAGUCCCACUGCGUUCAAUGGGCCGCAUCUUAAAUACAGCUCUAUAGAGAGCCAAAACUUAGACGCGGUUUCUUGGGAGCAAGCUCCACAGAAUAUCUACGACCGGCUUCCAAAAAAACAAAAAAACAAACCCACCAGAUCUAUGCUGAGAAAGUUGGUAAGAGAACUUAUUUUGUUCCCUUAACAAAGAUGGCUCCAGCCUCUACAAGCGUCUGCCCUCCCUUUCCUGUGGAGCUGUUCACGUCACGUCAUUUCUGGAGACUCCCGUUGAGGCUGUAACUAGGAGAAAUACAAAGAGGGAUGGCGCCCGUGAACCGGAGGACUCUGGAGUGGAUCUACUCGCUGAUUCUACUCACCACUGUAUUGCUUUCAUGGGGAUAUGUCAUUUAUGCAGCACGUAUAGCAGCCAAAUGGAAGCUGAAAGAAGACUAUCCCACAGAAACACAGAACCUUUGAGACAGACCAAACCAAAAAGCUAUCCAUAUCUGCACAGAAGUGUGAACACAUUCAAGUUUGUUCCAGUCACAGGAAUAGCCAGUUUUUUUAAAAAAAUCAGUAACUCCAGAUUCACAGAGCCAUGAUUGUAAACACUGAAUUGUCAGAAAAUACAAAUGGGCGGAACAACACAAGAAUUUGAAAAGUCUCAGCCCUGUCAAUGAAGCUGAGAGGAGUACUUCAAAUAAACUUUGGCUGCAAAGAAAGCUUCCAAAUGUUUGCAUCUCUUUGACAUCAUUGAUUAUAUUCAUAAAAGUUCAGAAGAAUGAGGUCUGAGGUUAGCAUUUUUAAAAAGCUACUAAAAAAUCUCUACCAGUCCUGUGCAUCUAGAACUGUGGGUAAAGUGAGUCAUAUGGAGAAAUCACUCAUUAAUCCCAUGUGUAAAAAGAAUUGUGCAGGUUUUUUUUACUGUUAAAGCAAUAAACUACUAAUUGAACUAUG
Molecule: long non-coding RNA, 959 nt
Organism: Varanus komodoensis (Komodo dragon)
Lineage: Eukaryota; Metazoa; Chordata; Lepidosauria; Squamata; Varanidae
Exons: 2
Source: RefSeq, a predicted model, not a curated record